AUUGGAUAUGUUAUUCAGCUACAUAAACGUUCCAAACACUGCAUCAUCUCUUCUCCUCCUUCCCCAAAACACCACAUCAUCUCUUCUUCCCCCAAAACCCUUUCUAUUCUCUCUGUCAACACAAAGAACCUAUAGAAACGUCCAUCGUUGCCGACGAAGACGAUGAGGAAUCAAAGCGAUGAUGGUUGUGUUCUUCAUUUCUGCGACAAUCGUAGCUGUUUUUUUGCCGCGUGUAUGUCCUUCCCAUGCGUCUUUCUAUUUGUUAGACACGUUUUGUUUUUGAGUUUUUGUUUGGUACAUGGUUUUGAUUUUGAGUGAUGACCAUUAAUGGUGAUGGUGUGGAUGAAGGACGACACCACGGUGAUGUUGGGGGCCAGCUUGAAACCCUAAGUCAAACCUAAACAGAACGGUUCAGACCAUCUUCCUCUCCGGUAACACCGUUUUCUUCUCCGGCCAGACCAUUAUUAUACCAUAUGACGAAAGCGGGGGCUAGGGUUUCACCAGAAAACACGACGGGCAUCAAUCGCCUAGGAGUAAUUGAUCGGCAGGUCGAGUGAAAACGGAGUGAAAACAAUGGCAGCAAAGCAAAUUGAAUGAUCGCUGAUACAAUUGAGGACUAAGAUGAAUACAUCAUCUGGUAGUCUCAUGAAGAGAUGGAAUGCAUUCAAGGCUAGACCAGCUGCAUCCGCCUGUCUCAUACUUUAUCAAUGUGGUUUCCAACCUCAGAUGACUAGAAGAGAAGUUGCCCUUAGUCAUGGAGUCAAGUAUGCUACACAAAUCUUUUUGGCUGUUGCGUUCAUUCAUAUGAAUCAAGGGCGUUUGGAACUGUGAAUACAAGUUUGUUGUAUCAAAUUUUCAGGUCAGUUAAACACUUUGAUGGAUAUUUUGUUUACGAAGAUCUCGAAAUGAUCAACUCUGAGAUUAAGACAACUGAUCUCGGGACUAAUGUACCCGGCACAACCGCAUUUCACAAACAGCCGGUUUUCGCAGCCAGAAAAGUAGCAUUAAGAGAGGUGCAACAGAACAAUAAUAACAACAUAACACGCGACACCCAUUCGGAACGUUUACUUCCAGUCGACGGACAACUGUUUGCAGACGCAUCUAAAACAUGCGGUACUAAAAUGGCUACACCUGACUAUGCGCCAUCUCCUAUCUUGACCAAUAAUGGCGCACAUGAGCAUUUUAAUCUCCUGCGUAGUAAACAUGAAGGAUACCAUGGGAAAAACGUUGGUUAUUCACAAUCUGCAAGUGUACCUCAUAUUAAACAAGAAAUGAGCCAGAUUAAUGGGAAUAAUAUGCGUUACGGUUCUUUAGUGGUGUCGAACCAAAUGGCUUCGAAGGUGUCUGUUUCUCGGUUUAAAGAGUAUAAUGAGGAACAGAGGGCUGACCGAUUGGUAAAUUUGCAUAAUUUUAUCAAUCAAUGUGAUGGGUCGGAGUAUAGAGAUAAUAUUCAAUUGCUCUUGCGUUUAUCGCCUUUGGAGCUUAGUAGAUACGCAGUUGAGUUAGAGAAAAGAGCGAUUCAGUUAACCAUAGAAGAAGCGCGCAAAUCCUUCAUAUAAAGUCGACAAAUGUUAACUUUAUUUGCUUUUAAACGGUGUGCAUGUGUUCUCUUAACUCCACUUUUAUAUCUGGAACCGAUAACUGUGUUAAGACAUUUUAAUGUAUGUGGUAAACAUUUGUGCGGGCGAUAAAGGAGAUGAACACGAGACUGAGAAUCGGAAAUGCCCAAAACUUGGGUUUAAGGUCAAGGACGUGGUGAAUAUAACUGAAGUUUUUCUGGGUGUUUGGAUUUAUGCCCCUUGCCUUGCUAACAUCAAAGACAUGGCCUUUGGUUGUGGACAUCAGGUGGAAAGCUUUUUAAAUUGUGCUGCUUUAAAGCGGAGAGCGUGAUGAAUGAAGAAGCUGAAAAGAAAGUCUUUUAAAAGCCGCCGACAAUGAAGAACAGGUAGGUUGAACCCAAAAUAGGCCCUCGUCCAUCUUUUGCGCAACUUGUCUACAUAUCACUCUACGUGUUAGUAUGCUAAGUUAUGAUAAAUUACCUUUCAUAUAUAAGUUAGGCGAUGCAGCUAUGGAACGUCGAUGUAACAAAUACUUGGUGUUAUUUAGUACGGCUAUGAAUGGAUCCCGCCGCAUUGCGGCGGGUGAUAAAUCCUAGUUUUUACUAAACGUCAAUGGUUAUUGUUAGUCUCGUUUUUUUUUUUUUCUGACAGUCCCACCUUUCAACAAUUUUUUAUCCAUCGGUCUUCAGUUAAAAAAAACUUAACUCUGUUAAGUUUUUUUUUUCUUUUUUCGAAUUACAAACUAAUGUUUUAGGAUUUUUAAUCAGAACGAGGAUACGAAUCUAUUAAUAUAAAACUUACCUCGAAACGGUGCUUCAAACGACUUGUUUUUUGUUAAUUGGAAGUUUAAACACCUGAAUUGAAGCACCGUUCUCGUCGUUUGGAGCACAAUUUCAAUGUAAGUUUUACAUCAUUCGACUUGUAUACUCGUUCUGAUCAAAAGCCCUAAAAUGUCAGUUUGUAAUUCGAAAAAAAAAAACUUAAUGGAGUUAAGUUUUUUUAAAUGAGGACCGGUGGAGGAAAAAUAGUUGAAAGGUGGGACUGUGAGGGGGAAUAAAAAAAGAUGAGACUGGUAAUGACUAAUGACGUCUAGUAAAGAUUAUUAGAGGCCAAUAUCACUAUUUUUUUAAUAUCAUAUGACUAGUCAUUUUUUACAAUCCAAUAAAUCAUUAUAACAA
Molecule: RNA transcript, 2737 nt
Organism: Helianthus annuus (common sunflower)
Lineage: Eukaryota; Viridiplantae; Streptophyta; Magnoliopsida; Asterales; Asteraceae
Exons: 7
Source: RefSeq, a predicted model, not a curated record